Molecule: ribosomal RNA, 458 nt
Filed under: uncultured bacterium
Lineage: Bacteria
Description: bacterial SSU rRNA
Rfam family: Bacterial small subunit ribosomal RNA
Source: RNAcentral
GAUGAACGUUGGCGGUGUGCCUAAUACAUGCAAGUCGAACGGAGUUAAUAGCAAUAUUGACUUAGUGGCGAACGGGUGAGUAACGCGUUGGUGAUCUGCCUUGAAGUGUGGAAUAACGCUCCGAAAGGAGCGCUAAUACCGCAUGUGCUCUCAAUUUUUAGAAAGUUGAGAGGAAAGGAUUUAUUCGCUUCGAGAGGAGCCUGCGUCCCAUCAGCUGGUUGGUAGGGUAAAGGCCUACCAAGGCAAUGACGGGUAGGGGGCCUGAGAGGGUGGCCCCCCAAAUGGAACUGAAACACGGUCCAUACACCUACGGGUGGCAGCAGUAGGGAAUAUUAGUAAUGGGCGAAAGCCUGAACUAGCAACGCCGCGUGUGCGAAGAAGGCCUUCGGGUCGUAAAGCACUUUUUGAGAGGAUGAGGAAGGACGGUACUCUCAGAAUAAGUCUCGGCUAACUACGUG